This 1054-nucleotide long non-coding RNA is filed under the name Pan troglodytes (chimpanzee). Its description in RNAcentral is "long non-coding RNA NONPTRT010958". Lineage: Eukaryota; Metazoa; Chordata; Mammalia; Primates; Hominidae. The record is from RNAcentral.
CCCAGCCCUCCACUCCGCACCCCACUCACCACCUCACUCCACACAUCUCCUCAUUCCACGCAUCUCCUCACUCCACACAUCUCCUCACUCCACACAUCUCACUCCACACAUCUCACUCCACACAUCUCACUCCACACAUCACCUCACUCCACGCAUCUCACUCCACACAUCUCACUCCACGCAUCUCACUCCACACGUCUCACUCCACACAUCAUACUCCACACAUCUCACUCCACACAUCUCCUCAUUCCACACAUCUCACUCCACACAUCACCUCACUCCACGCAUCUCACUCCACACAUCUCACUCCACACAUCUCACUCCACACAUCACCUCACUCCACGCAUCUCACUCCACACAUCAUACUCCACACAUCUCACUCCACACAUCACCUCACUCCACGCAUCUCACUCCACACAUCUCCUCACUCCACGCAUCUCACUCCACACAUCUCACUCCACACAUCUCACUCCACACAUCUCCUCAUUCCACACAUCUCACUCCACACAUCACCUCACUCCACACAUCUCCUCACUCCACACAUCUCACUCCACGCAUCUCCUCACUCCAUGCGUCUCCUCACUCCACGCAUCUCCUCACACCACGCAUCUCACUCCACACAUCUCCUCACUCCACGCAUCUCACUCCACACAUCUCCUCACUCCACACAUCUCACUCCACGCAUCUCCUCACUCCACACGUCUCCUCACUCCACACAUCUCCUCACUCCACACAUCUCACUCCACACAUCUCACUCCACACAUCUCCUCACUCCACACAUCUCCUCACUCCACACAUCUCCUCUCUCCACGCAUCUCACUCCACACAUCUCCUCUCUCCACACAUCUCACUCCACACAUCUCCUCACUCCACAGAAAUCCUCACUGUACGCAUCUCCUUAUCCCACGCCUCCCCUCGUCCCACGUCCCGUGGUCACACUCAUGUCCUCACUGCACACCUCCUGCUGCCUUCUGCAAGGUUCGACUGCUGACUUUGCUUCCCACAGCAUUUCCACUGCUUGACACAGGUGAAUGGCUCCGACCCCAUUUCUGAC